GACGAACGCUGGCGGCGUGCCUAAUACAUGCAAGUCGAACGCAGUGGGGACGGGUGAGUAACACGUGGGUAACCUCCCAUCAGAGGGGAUAACACUUGGAAACAGGUGCUAAACCGAUACUGAUGGAUGGACCCGCGGGGCAUUAGCUUGUGGGUGGGGUAACGGCCCACCAAGGCCACGAUGCAUAGCCGGCCUGAGAGGAUGAUCGGCCACACUGGGACUGAGACACGGCCCAGACUCCUACGGGAGGCAGCAGUAGGGAAUCUUCGGCAAUGGGCGAAAGUCUGACGGAGCAACGCCGCGUGAAUGAAGAAGGUUUUCGGAUCGUAAAACUCUGUUGUUAGAGAGGCGGUAUCGAACCAGAAAGCCACGGCUAACUACGUGCCAGCAGCCGCGGUAAUUC
This 403-nucleotide ribosomal RNA is filed under the name uncultured bacterium. RNAcentral describes it as "partial 16S ribosomal RNA". It matches the Rfam family "Bacterial small subunit ribosomal RNA", at positions 28 to 526 of the family's 1533-position model. The record is from RNAcentral.